CGAGCUCACUGAGCCUGAGACUGGUUCAAGAAACUCCCAAUAAAGGUUCUGGCUGAGACUUUCUUCUUGCUUUUUUCUGCUUCCUGACCAACACUGCUGCUUUCCCCUAUGACCGUGCAUGAUAUGAAGGGACCUCAUCUCUGGGACCUGUUUAUUCUUGGAAAAUCCCGAGUCAUGAUCCCUGCUUUUCUAGCCAAAACUACAUUUGGAAGUGCCCUGAACCAGAGAUAGAUUUGGACCCAAGAAACAAGCCAAGGGUAGAUCAUCUCAGAGAAAAUACCUGUUAUGGGCCAGAGAAGACUGGGGCUUCAAGAUAAUUGACACCACCCUGGGCUUCAAGGAAGGACUGAAUGAGCAAAAUCAAGAAAAUAGCAAAUUCCAUCCACUUAAUCAUAGCAGUUGGUUCAGGGAUGGAUCUAUGAUCUACAUCUGGCCAGCCAGGGCUAAGGAGACUCAAUUCUGGAACUACAGGCUCGGGAUGUCUGGUGGAAAAUAGAAGUAUAUAGUUGUACAUACUUCUCACACACAAGAAGCUUUGAAGCUCUGGAAAAAUAAGAAACAUGUACGUGGGAAAUGUGCAACAUUGUCUACCUUUUCACAUAAACAACAUAUGGAAC
Long non-coding RNA from Neogale vison (American mink), 617 nucleotides. RefSeq lists it as uncharacterized. The transcript is spliced from 6 exons. Lineage: Eukaryota; Metazoa; Chordata; Mammalia; Carnivora; Mustelidae. The record is from RefSeq and is a predicted model, not a curated record.